RNAcentral lists this long non-coding RNA (288 nucleotides) under Cavia porcellus (domestic guinea pig). Its description in RNAcentral is "lncRNA (ENSCPOG00000032811.1)". Lineage: Eukaryota; Metazoa; Chordata; Mammalia; Rodentia; Caviidae. The record is from RNAcentral.
AGCACAUCCCUGGAAUCAGUAAAUUCCCUUGGGAUAUACCCAGAGGGCAAGAUCUGCAAUGGGGUAGAACCCAGACUCGGCCAGCUGGCACGGAUUUCUGCUCACUCUUGCUUCCUGGGACUCUUACUGAGGAACCCCUAGGUGAAGGAAUUGCAUUCCAAGCUGAGCCUCUCUCAAGCAAACCAGACAUGGUCUCUACCUGGAAAGCUGACUAAAUGGGGAGACAGGCAAUGGAAAAUCAUAAUAAUUCCACAUAAGGAAAAUAAAAGAGGCAUGAAUGAGUUAUAC